GACGAACGCUUGCGGCAUGCCUGAGAAAUGCAAGUCGAGCGGGGAGGGGGGAGCAAUCCCUUCUUCUAGCGGCGAACGGUCGAGUAACACGUAAGCAACCUACCCGGAAGCGGGGGACAAGCCGGAGAAAUCCGGGGUAAUACCGCAUAACUUGGGAGGAGACAUCUUCUGCCAAGAAAGGGAAGCGAAAGCUUUUCACUUUCGGAGGGGCUUGCGGCCUAUCAGCUAGUUGGCGGGGUAACGGCUCACCAAGGCGACGACGGGUAGCUGGUCUGAG
This 277-nucleotide ribosomal RNA is filed under the name uncultured bacterium. RNAcentral describes it as "partial 16S ribosomal RNA". It matches the Rfam family "Bacterial small subunit ribosomal RNA", at positions 28 to 296 of the family's 1533-position model. The record is from RNAcentral.